AUUGAACGCUGGCGGCAGGCCUAACACAUGCAAGUCGAACGAGUGGCGGACGGGUGAGUAAUGUCUGGGAAACUGCCCGAUGGAGGGGGAUAACUACUGGAAACGGUAGCUAAUACCGCAUACCAUCGGAUGUGCCCAGAUGGGAUUAGCUAGUAGGUGGGGUAACGGCUCACCUAGGCGACGAUCCCUAGCUGGUCUGAGAGGAUGACCGGCCACACUGGAACGGAGACACGGCCCAGACUCCUCGGGGAGGCAGCAGGGGGGAAUAUUGAAAAAGGGGCGCAAGCCGGAUGCAGCCAGGCCGUGUGUAUGAAGAAGGCUUUCGGUUUGUAAAGUACUGUAAGGGGGGAGGCGUUACCGGAAGAAGAAGCACCGGCAAACUCCGUGCCAGCAGCCGCGGUAAUUC
This 406-nucleotide ribosomal RNA is filed under the name uncultured bacterium. RNAcentral describes it as "partial 16S ribosomal RNA". It matches the Rfam family "Bacterial small subunit ribosomal RNA", at positions 29 to 526 of the family's 1533-position model. The record is from RNAcentral.